CCGGCCUCCCUCUGCAGAUUCUACGUGGGCUCAAGAUUCAGCCUUUCUUCCUCAGGAAGGGAGGGGUGCACGCUUGGAAAUGGGAGAGUCCUGCCUUUUUUCCUUUCCCAUGUGUGCUCCCAGGGCCGGGAUGAGGUCAUGUUAGAAGUGGAUCUGGGGUCUUGGAUGAGGUCAGCACUUGGGCAGAGUUGGAAUGGGCUGGUGUCAGGUUGGUGAGGGAGGGAAUUGGGAUCCAUGCUGGGGUCAGAGAUCAGGCUCUAAGCUCUUUUACAGGGCUUGACCCUGGGGACUGAGAGGUGGAGAAGACACAGUCCCAUCUGUCUCACGGCAGAGACAGGUUUGGGGGCACACGUGAAGGUUUGACAUAUAGUAAACACAUGUCAUGGUGGUUUGUUGUACAGAUUAUUACAUCACCCAGGUACUAAGCCCAGUACCCAAUAGUUGUCUUUUCUGCUCCUCUCCCUCCUCCCGCCCUCAAGAAGACCCCCGUGUCUGCACUUUCCUUCUUUGUGUUCGUAAGUUCUUAUCAUUUAGCUCCCAAUGCUUUCCAUUCUUUUAGAUAUAUGUGCCCUUGGCAUUUUUGCCCUUUUGGGCCCCUUCUUCCAG
RNAcentral lists this long non-coding RNA (606 nucleotides) under Homo sapiens (human). Its description in RNAcentral is "non-protein coding lnc-NFX1-1:2". The record is from RNAcentral. Lineage: Eukaryota; Metazoa; Chordata; Mammalia; Primates; Hominidae.